UGGGGAAUUUUGGACAAUGGGCGCAAGCCUGAUCCAGCAAUGCCGCGUGCAGGAUGAAGGCCUUCGGGUUGUAAACUGCUUUUGUACGGAACGAAACGGCUCUGGUUAAUACCUGGGGCUAAUGACGGUACCGUAAGAAUAAGCACCGGCUAACUACGUGCCAGCAGCCGCGGUAAUACGUAGGGUGCGAGCGUUAAUCGGAAUUACUGGGCGUAAAGCGUGCGCAGGCGGUGAUGUAAGACAGAUGUGAAAUCCCCGGGCUCAACCUGGGACCUGCAUUUGUGACUGCAUCACUCGAGUACGGCAGAGGGAGGUGGAAUUCCGCGUGUAGCAGUGAAAUGCGUAGAUAUGCGGAGGGACACCGAUGGCGAAGGCAGCCUCCUGGGCCAGUACUGACGCUCAUGCACGAAAGCGUGGGGAGCAAACA
Molecule: ribosomal RNA, 427 nt
Filed under: uncultured bacterium
Lineage: Bacteria
Description: bacterial SSU rRNA
Rfam family: Bacterial small subunit ribosomal RNA
Source: RNAcentral